Gossypium raimondii (Peruvian cotton) is the source of this 1185-nucleotide long non-coding RNA. RefSeq lists it as uncharacterized. NCBI's taxonomy places the organism in Eukaryota, Viridiplantae, Streptophyta, Magnoliopsida, Malvales, Malvaceae. The record is from RefSeq and is a predicted model, not a curated record. The transcript is spliced from 2 exons.
AUUUAAUAAAAGAAAUAAAAGAUAGAAGAAGAGAAAUGGAAACAGAAUAGGCAAACGAAAACAGGGGAGAAAGGAAAGAAAAAGAAAAAGGGAAGGAAAGAAAGAAAAUUUGGGGUUUCAAGGUUUCAAGCUCAAUUGAGUCAUUGCCGAGAAAGGAAAAGGGAAGGUGAUCAAGGAGUGACUCGAGAAAAUUUACGGUUAGUAUUACUAUAAUUCGAAUUUAAUUAUUAAUUGUUAAAAUUUAAAUUAAUAUACAUAAUAAGAAAAUUGAGGUGAGUAUCAUGAUUGAAUCGAAUGAAAUAUAUAUAUAUAUAUAUAAAUAUAUAUACGUAUUGAUAUUGAAUUUAUUGAUAGUAAUUGUUGAAUUUUGAAUAAUAUGUUUAGUAAAUAAAAAUAAGGAGAAUAUCGAUAUUUAAUUGAAUGAAUUAAAAAUAUGAAUUGAAUAAAAGUGAAUUAAAUUAUGAAUAAGUGUGAAUACGUGAAUUGAGUAUUGACUGAAAAGUGGUUUGAUUCGAAUCGAGGUAUGAUUUGUGAAAUAUGUAUUGGUGCUGAAUUGUAUAUUGAUUUGAAAGUGGGAAGUGAAUUUGAAAUAGAAAAAUGUAUUGAAUCAAAUGGUGAUUAAAUUGUAUAAUGAUUUGAAUUGAAAGUAUGAGAAAGUGAUUGAAUUGAAAUGUGAUUUGAAUUGAAAUGUGAUUCGGAAACCCUAUUAACUAGUCGGGCUGAGUCGAAUAUAGUUGGCAUGCCAUAGGAUUGGAAGUGUUCAGGGAUACUUCGACCUUGAGUCGAUGAGACACUGGGUGUCAUAAUGUUACUUCGGAUAGAUUCGAUGAGGUACUGGGUACCAACUUGCUUCGGCUUUGUCGAUGAGACACUGGGUGUCAACUAUUGCUUCGAACUAUCUGAUGAGGCACUGGGUGCCAUUCUGGUGUGUUUGGUUGGAUCCGUGUAUCCGCCAAGGUCCGAGUCAAGUUAAUAGGGGUAAAUGAAUAAUUUUGAUAAUAUAAAUUUUAUUAAAUGAUCUUGAAUAUGAAUCGAAAUGAGAUAUUAAAUUGAGAUAUGGAAAUGAAAUGUAUGAACCAAGGGUUCAAGAAAUAGUUAGCAAUUUAGUUCAUGAAAUGAUUUUGGUAGUAUGAGAUGUAAAAUAUAAGUAAAGAAAAGCAAAUUGAAAUAGCUAUUGCUGAGAAA